Molecule: long non-coding RNA, 437 nt
Filed under: Ananas comosus (pineapple)
Lineage: Eukaryota; Viridiplantae; Streptophyta; Magnoliopsida; Poales; Bromeliaceae
Description: long non-coding RNA (ACOM_LNC033243)
Source: RNAcentral
CAACAACAACAUUAGGAUCACAACAACAACUUAUAUUCACCAAUCCACAAACCAUUCAUGCGAUGCAUUUCCAUAUAGCUAGCUAUCCUUAGAGAUGAUGCAUACCUCUAAACACUUCUUAGGCGUUGGAUGAUGAUGCACAGUACAACAAUUAUUCUAUUUAAAAGUGCUCCCCACCCGGAAGCUUUAUUUUCAAACUCUAGUUAAUCAUCCAUAAAACUAUUUGAAAAUAUUUUUAAAACUGUUUCCCACUCGGAAACUCUAUUUUGAAAACCGACCACCUCUAGGGGUAAAAAACCACGAUGCAUAAAUACGUAAAUCCAAAACCGAACAUUCAUAAAUCUUCACAAAUACUCAAACAUUCAUAUUGAUCAUCUAACUUAACCAUUUAAUUAUUUAAAUUACUAAAAGCGGAAAUAAAAGUAAUCCGGGUGACG